RNAcentral lists this long non-coding RNA (369 nucleotides) under Gallus gallus (chicken). Its description in RNAcentral is "long non-coding RNA NONGGAT003693". The record is from RNAcentral. Lineage: Eukaryota; Metazoa; Chordata; Aves; Galliformes; Phasianidae.
CCUAUCCAUUGGCAUCCUCCAUGUUCAAGCCAACUGGAGGCUCUUGGUGGGGUUAAGCCCUACCUCUCUCAGCAUUUUGGGCAACAUCAUGCUCAAAGAACAGACUACAAAGACUUUGAUACCGUGACUGGAGCAGUGCUUGAGGAGCUUUGUACGCAGUGAGUAACUCUUCAUGUAAAGUGACUGUGUAAGACUGCCUGAAUGCCACUGUCUGCUGAGUCAACUUGAACACGGGACUGCAUAUGACAUGAAGAAAAUUCAAACCUCUUCCAUCGAAUGCCUGAAUGGAAACCAUUGGUAACUGAGGUGGCGUGCUGGAGUGGACACCCAUGUCGUUCCCAACCCUACCUGUGGUCAUUCUGAAACGUG